This 497-nucleotide ribosomal RNA is filed under the name uncultured bacterium. Its description in RNAcentral is "partial 16S ribosomal RNA". It matches the Rfam family "Bacterial small subunit ribosomal RNA", at positions 28 to 507 of the family's 1533-position model. The record is from RNAcentral.
GAUGAACGCUGGCGGCGUGCCUAAUACAUGCAAGUCGAGCGAACAGAUGAGGAGCUUGCUCCUCUGACGUUAGCGGCGGACGGGUGAGUAACACGUGGAUAACCUACCUAUAAGACUGGGAUAACUUCGGGAAACCGGAGCUAAUACCGGAUAAUAUAUUGAACCGCAUGGUUCAAUAGUGAAAGACGGUUUUGCUGUCACUUAUAGAUGGAUCCGCGCCGCAUUAGCUAGUUGGUAAGGUAACGGCUUACCAAGGCAACGAUGCGUAGCCGACCUGAGAGGGUGAUCGGCCACACUAGAACGUAGACACGGUCCAGACUCCUACGGGAGGCAGCAGUAGGGAAUCUUCCGCAAUGGGCGAAAGCCUGACGGAGCAACGCCGCGUGAGUGAUGAAGGUCUUCGGAUCGUAAAACUCUGUUAUUAGGGAAGAACAAAUGUGUAAGUAACUAUGCACGUCUUGACGGUACCUAAUCAGAAAGCCACGGCUAACUACGUG